Molecule: ribosomal RNA, 440 nt
Filed under: uncultured bacterium
Lineage: Bacteria
Description: partial 16S ribosomal RNA
Rfam family: Bacterial small subunit ribosomal RNA
Source: RNAcentral
CCUACGGGAGGCAGCAGUGGGGGAUAUUGCACAAUGGGGGAAACCCUGAUGCAGCGACGCCGCGUGGGUGAAGAAGGGCCUCGGCGCGUAAAGCCCUGUCAGCAGGGAAGAAAAUGACGGUACGUGAAGAAGAAGCCCCGGCUAACUACGUGCCAGCAGCCGCGGUAAUACGGAGGGGGCAAGCGUUAUCCGGAUUUACUGGGUGUAAAGGGGGCGCAGACGGGGAUGCAAGCCAGGAGUGAAAGCCCGGGGCCCAACCCCGGGACUGCUCUUGGAACUGCGUGGCUAGAGUGCAGGAGGGGCAGGCGGAAUUCCUGGUGUAGCGGUGAAAUGCGUAGAUAUCAGGAGGAACACCGGUGGCGAAGGCGGCCUGCUGGACUGCAACUGACGUUGAGGCCCGAAAGCGUGGGGAGCAAACAGGAUUAGAUACCCCAGUAGUC